AUGCAUUCUAGGAAGUAUGGAAGAACGCUACACAUUAAACAAAGACCAUCUCUGGGACAGAAGCAAGGAGGCACCAAUUCCUUAUGCUCUUCAUUUAGUGUAUGAGGUUUUUGUGGGUUUUUUUUGUUUGUUUGUUUUUUGCUUUGCAAUAUAUUUAUAUAUUAUUUUUUGGAGAGUGAUAAAACAUUUUUUAAAAAGAAAAGCUCUGAGUUCCCCAGUGGCUCAGGGGUUCAGGCUCUGGCACUGUCAGUGCUGUAAUCUGGGUUCCGUCCCUGGCCCAGGAACUUCCACAUACCACGGACAGAUGCAGUCAAUCAAUCAAUCAAUAGAAUAGCUUCAAAGGGUAAAUGUACAUUAAACUAAUGUUUAAUUAGUUAGGAUCAUGAUUUCUUCCUUUUUCUAUGUUGUCACUUUUGUUAUUAGGAGAAAAAUAAUGUAGUAUUUUAAUUACUCAUGGUCAAUACUAUAGAUGUUGACACUAAUCUUUAAUGUGAGCAAAAAAAGUCCAGAUUUUUACCAAAUCUUUCAUAAAAAUAGUAAUCAUGACUUCUCCUUUCUCUAUGCAUGGGCAUGGCCAAGAGAAGAACUGGUUUCAAGUCUACAAGUAUACUUACUCCCCCCAUUGCAGGCAGUGCAUAUCUCUGGGGGUUGGGAUUUAGGAACUCACUUAUUCACUUUAAACUGACUUGGUUUACAAGCAACAUGUAUUUGUCUAAAUAACUAGAAACUCAGACAGGAUUUUAGAAUGGUGGUGGCAGGAACAUAGUCUUACAACCUCUCCCACAUUUUCUAGACAAGAAAAUCAGUCUAUGGACACUAUUUACAACAAAAUUACGUUACCCAAACAAACCCCCUCCCCAAACCCCCAAAGACUAACAGAUGUACACUAACAAACCACCAACAGCCAUAGACCAAACAAGGAAGCAAUUUGGAGGAGGGAUGGUGUGCAGCUGACAAGGCUAUGACAGUGGUCCAACCAGGAGAUGAAGUUGGCCUGGAGAAUAAAGCAAUGGCAGUGAGCAAGGAGAAGCCCAGAAUAUGAGACAAAAAAAAUUGGAAGCAGAAAGGAGACAAUGUGGUCAUCAAUAAAAUAAGAAAAUAUAAGAGUAGGAGGGAGAAGGAAAAUAUGGAAAUUCAUUUUUACCUGCUAGAUGAACAAUAGCAUUAAUAACUGAUAUCAAGCCCAUUUUAUAGAAUGGUGUAACAGGUGGUGGAAAAAAGUUGUCUGGGGAAAAACAAGUUUGGUGGGACUACGGAACAACCAGUAAUUGUCUUAGAAAUAUAUGUAUCUAAACAUCUGAGGUGAUGAUAAAGUCAAAGGAUAGAAA
Molecule: long non-coding RNA, 1328 nt
Filed under: Sus scrofa (pig)
Lineage: Eukaryota; Metazoa; Chordata; Mammalia; Artiodactyla; Suidae
Description: lncRNA (ENSSSCG00015052619.1)
Source: RNAcentral